RNAcentral lists this ribosomal RNA (383 nucleotides) under uncultured Rikenellaceae bacterium. Its description in RNAcentral is "bacterial SSU rRNA". It matches the Rfam family "Bacterial small subunit ribosomal RNA", at positions 999 to 1382 of the family's 1533-position model. Lineage: Bacteria; Pseudomonadati; Bacteroidota; Bacteroidia; Bacteroidales; Rikenellaceae. The record is from RNAcentral.
GGCCGAAAGGUCUGCGCAGCGAUGGCCGCUUGCGAGGUGCUGCAUGGUUGUCGUCAGCUCGUGCCGUGAGGUGUCGGGUUAAGUCCCAUAACGAGCGCAACCCCUACCUGCUAGUUGCCAGCGGGUCAUGCCGGGGACUCUAGCGGAACUGCCAGCGUAAGCUGCGAGGAAGGUGGGGAGUGACGUCAAAUCAGCACGGCCCUUACGUCCAGGGCUACACACGUGUUACAAUGGCCAGUACAGAGGGCGGCCACCCCGCGAGGGGGCGCUAAUCCUAAAAGCUGGUCCCAGUUCGGAUCGGAGUCUGCAACCCGACUCCGUGAAGCUGGAUUCGCUAGUAAUCGCGCAUCAGCCACGGCGCGGUGAAUACGUUCCCGGGCCUU